This 776-nucleotide ribosomal RNA is filed under the name uncultured archaeon. RNAcentral describes it as "bacterial SSU rRNA". It matches the Rfam family "Archaeal small subunit ribosomal RNA", at positions 690 to 1465 of the family's 1478-position model. The record is from RNAcentral.
UUCGACGGUGAGGGAUGAAAGCUGGGGAGCAAACCGGAUUAGAUACCCGGGUAGUCCCCAGCUGUAAACUAUGCAAACUCAGUGAUGCAUUGGCUUGUGGCCAAUGCAGUGCUGCAGGGAAGCCGUUAAGUUUGCCGCCUGGGAAGUACGUACGCAAGUAUGAAACUUAAAGGAAUUGGCGGGGGAGCACCACAAGGGGUGAAGCCUGCGGUUCAAUUGGAGUCAACGCCAGAAAUCUUACCCGGAGAGACAGCAGAAUGAAGGUCAAGCUGAAGACUUUACCAGACAAGCUGAGAGGUGGUGCAUGGCCGUCGCCAGCUCGUGCCGUGAGAUGUCCUGUUAAGUCAGGUAACGAGCGAGAUCCCUGCCUCUAGUAGCCACCAUUACUCUCAGGAGUAGUGGGGCGAAUUAGCGGGACCGCCGCAGUUAAUGCGGAGGAAGGAGGGGGCCACGGCAGGUCAGUAUGCCCCGAAACUCUGGGGCCACACGCGGGCUGCAAUGGUAGUGACAAUUGGUUCCGAAUCCGAAAGGAGGAGGUAAUCCUCAAACGCUACCACAGUUAUGACUGAGGGCUGCAACUCGCCCUCACGAAUAUGGAAUCCCUAGUAACUGCGUGUCAUUAUCGCGCGGUGAAUACGUCCCUGCUCCUUGCACACACCGCCCGUCGUUUCAUUGAAGUUUGCUUUUAGCGAGGUGACGUCUGAUUGGCGUUAUCGAACUUGAGGUAAGUGACAAGGGAAAAGUCGUAACAAGGUGACCGUAGGUGACCCUGCAGA